GAAGAGGGGCGGGAUUCGCUGCCACCCUGCGCCCCUGGACCGCGUCUGGUCCUAGACUUCCCCCUCUUCAAACUUCCGCGCUUCUAAAGCGACUGGCGAGGGCGAUGAAACCAUUUACUGCUUGCCGGUAGUAGAUACAUAGGAAGUGAGUACUCCACGGGAGCCCAGGGUUCGGGGCACGCAGUCCACAAAGAGAGCAGAUGUCUGCAUAGGUGAGAUGCUGCCAGAAUACUAGGAUUCAGCCAGGAUUAUAGAUGUACCACUGUGCACGGACCCCUAAUUGCACUGUUGCUUUCACCGGCGCGCCCCCAACACAUAGAUUCAGACGUGUCGUAGACGUGGCUUUAUUACGCAAACAGAUGGGUGUCAGGAGCAGGGACCUGAAGGGAGGCAGGAGGACAGGGAGGGCGUAGGCGUCGGUACCAGGCUGAAGAGCGCCCGGCGGCCAGUGGACGGUGAGGGCGGUGGACCCGCCUGCAGCGAACUGAGUGCUGCCUGACGAUGCUCUCGGGACACGUCUCCGCGCAGGUCCAAGAGGGCAGAGACGUGAUCCUCGCUGCAGGAAUACCACCACGUGCGUCAGCCCAGCCCUCCCUCGUCCUCCUGGGCCGUUCCUCCCCUGUCCCCUUCCUCGCACCUCACGUCGGGAAAUUGCUGCCUCAAGCCUGCCACCUCGAGGCCAAGCAGUGUGGGGUCGUGGAGGUUGAGCAGUUCCCUCAGCGCGAGCAGGACGGGCGCGCAGUGAGCGCUCUCUUCCAGGCCCUGAACACAUGGGAACAGGGUUUCCAGCGGGCCCUCGGCUCCCACCCAACUACAGAGAUCCUCGACUGUCUGCCCUCCCAAUGAGCUCUCACCAAACCAAGGAAAAGCUCUUUGAGCUGGGCAGCAUCCUGCCGAAGUCGCUCAGCCGCCUGGCUCCGCUCGUCCGUACCGCGGCACACUAGGCGGCCCUGCAUCAGAGCCCUUAGACUGGGAUGGCGACCUCACCUGGAGCUCAACCUGCAGUACUUCCAAAACCAGGCGGCAGAUCCUCCUUUGUACGUCGUCCAGCGCAGCUUCCACUGGAGCUAAGACCCCGGAAGCUUCCCCGUCCGGCAGCAGGACCGAGACCGAAGAUCUGGACCAAAAAGUGUGACUUCAGGACCAAGGCCAAGGCUCGCAUGGCCCUCUAGGAUUCAUCCACUCUGGCGCCACCUUGUGGUACAGUGUCUGGUGGGAGCUGGGGCGGAAAGGGCGGCUCUGAAUUUAUGAAGGGCUCAGGUAUUCUGUAAGGCUAGGAAGAGUAUGCCCAGCGGACUUGCCUCUAAUGUAACCUCAAGUUAAGUUAUUCUUCCUUUUAUUUUGUUUUAGAGGGGAGCUCUUAAAAGAGUAAAAAUUCCCCGCAUGUAUGUCUGUCCUCUCUGCACACCACCAAGAGCAUAACACUCAAGAUAAGCCAGGCCUGGUGGAGGCUGACGAAAGAACGACUGCUCUUCCGAAGGUCCUGAGUUCAAAUCUCAGCAACCACAUGGUGGCUCACAACUACCAGUAAUGAGAUCUGAUGCCUUCUUCUGGCUUGUCUGAAGGCAGCUACAGUGUACUUAUGUAUAAUCAUAAAUCUUUGGGCCUGAGCCAGGCGUGGUGGUGCACGUCUUUAAUCCCAGCUUGGAGGAAGGCAGAGGCAGGCGGAUUUCUGAGUUCGAGGCCAGCCUGGUCUACAGAGUGAGUUCCAGGACAGCCAAGGCUACCCAGAGAAACCCUGUCUGGAAAAAAGAAAAAAAAAAAAUCUUUGGGCCUGAACAAGCGGAGUUGACUGGAGUGAGGGGGUGCUGACCAGGAAGCAGAGGUCCUAAAAAUUCAAUUCCCAACAACCACAUGAAGGCUCACGACCAUCUGGUUCAGCUACAGUGUACCAUAUACAUAAAUCUUUAAAAAAAUAUAUUUGCAGCCGGGCUUUGAGGCCAGCCUGGUCUACAGAUUGAGUUCCAGGACAGCCAGGGCUACACAGAGAAGCCUUGUCUCGAAAAAAAAAAGGGGGGGCUGGAGAGAUGGCUCAGUGGUUAAGAGCACUGACUGCCCUUCCAGAGGUCCACAUGGUGGCUCACAGCCAUCUGUAAUGGGAUCUGAUGCCCUCUUCUGGUGGGUUGAAGACAGGUACAGUGUAUUCAUAUAAAUAAAUCUUUUAAAAAAUUUAUUUCCUGAAUGUAGUAGAUUUAACAUCUUUAUCUAAUAUGAUUCUCUGACGAUUUUAUUAUUAUCCAAAUAAUACUAGUAAGAAAAGUGACAGGUACCUUGUAAUACAACUGAUAAUUAGCAGAGCGAGGAUUAGAACCCCAUCUUUGUGAGCCCAAAGUGGUUCUGGUGUGGGUGGCAUCCAGACUUUAAAGGAACUCAGAAGUGUGUUAGGAAAAGUGUGGUACCUCAGUGCUGAUUGGUGGUUGAAGGCAGACAGUAGGUAGGGCACAUAGUGAGGGGCCACGGCGUCUCCCCUGAGAUGGUCUCGAGAGAAUCGGAUCAGAGCGUCGCUGAAGCUGCAGUAGGCAGAGGAGCCUCUUGGGUUUGCUGCUAAUGUGGCACCCCCACAGCUGCACCCCCAGAACUCUUGUCCCACUUUCAAGUAUUUGUUUAAGGGUAACACACACACACUAGUGUGUCCUGUCCAGUUUACUCAGAGCCCUUGGGCUGUCUGGGAGCAGGGCUGGAGAUUGUGGAUGGGCCCCCCUGCUUGGCAAACCUUCUCAAGAAUGCGCCCAGCUCUGACACUGCCAUGUUAUGCGCCCGCCGAUGCAAUGAGUCACUAAUCAGGUUGGUCACUUGAAUGUUUUCAGCCAGGAUCUACAAGCAGGGAGGAGCGGCCUUCAGACAUUUCCUAGACCCGCUGCCCUUCUCCCCUUUCCAUAUGCGAGCUGCCUACUUCCUUGGGUUCUUCCCACCUACCUGCAGGACAAUGGCUGGCAUUGGGGAGUGGUAGAAACCGGAUGGAUCUGUGGGGGGCUCCUGUUCCCCGCUCCACUCUGCUACCUCUCCAUCCAGUGCCUUCUUCAGCCACUGAGCCACACUUACCUGGCAAGAAAGAGUAAGGAGCAGCGAGCUAUAUCAGGGUAUUGACAUGACGUUCAACUAGACAACCGGACAGUCACUAGUCACCUGAACCUGAGCCACAAAGGCUGCCUCCAGCUGCUCAAUGUUCUCUGAGGUCAAGAGGGGCUCUAGCUGGGACACAUCAGCCUCAGGCCCCAGUUCCAAGUUCCCCAUCAUUUCCUUCCUAGAGAUGGAUAGCAGGAUGUCACACUGAGCCUCUAAUCGUCCCACUUCCCGCUUCUCCAAGGACACUCACCCCGUGUACACAUGCAGUGCCCAGUGCAGCAAGGCAAACGUGUCAGCAGCUCCUAGCUCGGGCCCCGCGAGGAGUUGCUGCACGCUACGGCGCAGGCCACUGUGCAGGGUGUGGGCCCAUAGCUCAACCACACGGUAGCUUGGUGGGCAGCAGGGUGCCACCAAUGCCUCCGCUGUUGCCAACUCGGCGGGCAAGGCUACCUGCAGAGCCUCAAGCCACCCCGCCAGAGCCCCUGGCUCCGGAAGCACAGGCGAUGCAAAGUGGACCCGCUCCAGGCCCUCCUGUAGCGCCCGAAGACAUCGCUGCCGCCAGUCUCGGGGUGCCUGCCCCAGGAUUGUGCGCUCAGUCUCCACCUCUGCCACACGAAUAGCAGCUACCAGCAGGGCUGGGUCCUCUCGUGCCAGCCGCCCCGCAGCUCCUGCAGCCGCCUCCACAGCUUGGCCUAGGGCCUCAGCCAGAAGGCCUAGCCCCUGGAAGAUUGGCAACUCCAGACCUCCUAGGGGUGCCAGUGUCUCCUCUUUCAGCUGCUCUAGUUCCCGCAGGCUCACAUAUGCCUCCAAGAGUCGCUCAGAGUCUAUCAGGGUCUGCGUGUGGGCCACUGUAGCCGGCACUAAGGAAGAAAGGAGACGGCUUGAGGUCUCAGCCUUCCCAUCUGGGCUAUGGGUACAGCAAGGGACACUGAGGUCUGGAGACUGGUGUGAUGUAUUAACUAUUUAAUAAUAAGCAUGGUACUGCGUCGGGUCAUCUGAACAUCCAGGCUAAGGCCUAUAGAGUUGGGCCAUAUGUUAACCCCUGAACCAACAGACCAUGAAAUCAAGCAUGCCGGGGAGGUGGGUGGCCGACUGGAGAGAUGGAUGGCUCAGUGGUUAUGAGCACUGGCUAUGAUUCCCAACACCCAUGUGGCAGCUCACAAUUGUAACUCUAGUUCCAGGCCAUCAUAGUCCUCUUCUGACCCCUGCAUGUACCAGGCACUCAAACACUCACUUACAGUAAUCUUUAAAAACAAUGUUACAGGGCUGGAGAGAUGGCCCCGUCGUUAAGAGCACUGACUGUUCUGCCAGAGGUCCUGAGUUCAAUCCCUAGCAACCACAUGAUGGCUCACAGCCAUCUGUAAUGGGAUCCGAUGCACUUUUCUAGUGUAUCUGAAGACAGCUGCAGUGUGCUCGUAUAAAUAAAAAAUAAAUAAAUCUUAAAAAAAUGUUACAGGCAGACAAAAUAAAUGGAAGGCCAUGCUGGUUGCUAUUUGCCAAUCUUGUUAUGAAAUACUUACAAACAUAACUACAUAUGUAUUGUUAUGUAUGUGUGUGUACAUUGAUGUAUAUAUGUAUGGAUGCAGGUAUGUAUUGUACUUUGUAUAUAUGUGUUAUUUGGGGUGAUGCCUGAGAUUGAAUUUAGGGCCUUGCACAUACUAAACACAUGCUCUACCAGAGCUACAGCCAACGUUCUUUCAGUAAGUAAACUACUGUGGCUAUAGCCA
Long non-coding RNA from Mus musculus (house mouse), 4793 nucleotides. RefSeq lists it as uncharacterized. The record is from RefSeq and is a predicted model, not a curated record. NCBI's taxonomy places the organism in Eukaryota, Metazoa, Chordata, Mammalia, Rodentia, Muridae. The transcript is spliced from 2 exons.